This 253-nucleotide ribosomal RNA is filed under the name uncultured bacterium. Its description in RNAcentral is "partial 16S ribosomal RNA". It matches the Rfam family "Bacterial small subunit ribosomal RNA", at positions 524 to 776 of the family's 1533-position model. The record is from RNAcentral.
UACGGAGGGUGCAAGCGUUGUUCGGAAUUAUUGGGCGUAAAGGGCAGGUAGGUGGUCUUGAAAGUCUACUGUGAAAUCUCCGAGCUUAACUCGGAAAGGUCAACUGAUACUGUGCGGCUAGAGUGCGGAAGGGGCAACUGGAAUUCUUGGUGUAGCGGUGAAAUGCGUAGAUAUCAAGAGGAACACCUGCGGCGAAGGCGGGUUGCUGGGCCGACACUGACGCUGAGGCGCGAAAGCCAGGGGAGCAAACAGG